This is a long non-coding RNA of Corapipo altera (White-ruffed manakin), 475 nucleotides long. RefSeq lists it as uncharacterized. The transcript is spliced from 3 exons. NCBI's taxonomy places the organism in Eukaryota, Metazoa, Chordata, Aves, Passeriformes, Pipridae. The record is from RefSeq and is a predicted model, not a curated record.
CCCACAGUCAUGAUCACCUUCCAAUUCCAAAAACUGAAACAAGCAUAGGGGUGGAAACUCUGGGGAUAGCAAACUGACAGCAGCAAAGGCUUUUGAAGAGAAACUCCAUAGAAGCAGCAAUAUUUUUAGAGCACAAGGACUGAAGAUAGAGGGAGCUGUGUGAAGCACAUGGAAAGAAAGCAAUGCUAAUAAAGUUAUAAAUAGGAAGAUUUGAAAGAAAGGAGAAACCAAACACAGCUUAAUAAGCACCAAGAUAACAAAGCAUGUUAACAAUAGCAAGACUUACAGCCCAGUAAGAGAAGAUCUAAAGGCAGAAGAAUACAGUACCAAAUCUCCAAGAUCCUCUUGUUCAUUCUUCAUGCAUUUCUGGGGCAAUGAGAUUACUUCCAAUUAGUCUUAAUCUGACUCUAUUGGACAAAAGCUCAUUAAUUGGACACUUCUAGUUUAGUUUAAUCAAGAGAAAACUAAUUUGCAG